RNAcentral lists this ribosomal RNA (490 nucleotides) under uncultured Rhodococcus sp. RNAcentral describes it as "bacterial SSU rRNA". It matches the Rfam family "Bacterial small subunit ribosomal RNA", at positions 904 to 1382 of the family's 1533-position model. Lineage: Bacteria; Bacillati; Actinomycetota; Actinomycetes; Mycobacteriales; Nocardiaceae. The record is from RNAcentral.
CCGCUCAGAAACUUAAAGAAUUGACGGGGCCCGCACAAGCGGCGGAGCAUGUGGAUUAAUUCGAUGCAACGCGAAGAACCUUACCUGGGUUUGACAUAUACCGGAAAGCUGCAGAGAUGUGGCCCCCCUUGUGGUCGGUAUACAGGUGGUGCAUGGCUGUCGUCAGCUCGUGUCGUGAGAUGUUGGGUUAAGUCCCGCAACGAGCGCAACCCUAUCUUAUGUUGCCAGCACGUUAUGGUGGGGACUCGUAAGAGACUGCCGGGGUCAACUCGGAGGAAGGUGGGGACGACGUCAAGUCAUCAUGCCCCUUAUGUCCAGGGCUUCACACAUGCUACAAUGGCCAGUACAGAGGGCUGCGAGACCGUGAGGUGGAGCGAAUCCCUUAAAGCUGGUCUCAGUUCGGAUCGGGGUCUGCAACUCGACCCCGUGAAGUCGGAGUCGCUAGUAAUCGCAGAUCAGCAACGCUGCGGUGAAUACGUUCCCGGGCCUU